ACGGGUGAGUAACGCGUGGGAACGUACCUUUUGGUUCGGAACAACUGAGGGAAACUUCAGCUAAUACCGGAUAAGCCCUUACGGGGAAAGAUUUAUCGCCGAAAGAUCGGCCCGCGUCUGAUUAGCUAGUUGGUGAGGUAAGAGCUCACCAAGGCGACGAUCAGUAGCUGGUCUGAGAGGAUGAUCAGCCACACUGGGACUGAGACACGGCCCAGACUCCUACGGGAGGCAGCAGUGGGGAAUAUUGGACAAUGGGCGCAAGCCUGAUCCAGCCAUGCCGCGUGAGUGAUGAAGGCCCUAGGGUUGUAAAGCUCUUUUGUGCGGGAAGAUAAUGACGGUACCGCAAGAAUAAGCCCCGGCUAACUUCGUGCCAGCAGCCGCGGUAAUACGAAGGGGGCUAGCGUUGCUCGGAAUCACUGGGCGUAAAGGGUGCGUAGGCGGGUCCUUAAGUCAGGGGUGAAAUCCUGGAGCUCAACUCCAGAACUGCCUUUGAUACUGAGGAUCUUGAGUUCGGGAGAGGUGAGUGGAACUGCGAGU
This 537-nucleotide ribosomal RNA is filed under the name uncultured bacterium. Its description in RNAcentral is "bacterial SSU rRNA". It matches the Rfam family "Bacterial small subunit ribosomal RNA", at positions 102 to 674 of the family's 1533-position model. The record is from RNAcentral.